This 492-nucleotide ribosomal RNA is filed under the name uncultured bacterium. Its description in RNAcentral is "partial 16S ribosomal RNA". It matches the Rfam family "Bacterial small subunit ribosomal RNA", at positions 29 to 507 of the family's 1533-position model. The record is from RNAcentral.
AGUGAACGCUGGCGGUAGGCCUAACACAUGCAAGUCGAACGGCAGCACAGUAAGAGCUUGCUCUUACGGGUGGCGAGUGGCGGACGGGUGAGGAAUACAUCGGAAUCUACUUUUUCGUGGGGGAUAACGUAGGGAAACUUACGCUAAUACCGCAUACGACCUACGGGUGAAAGCAGGGGAUCUUCGGACCUUGCGCGAUUGAAUGAGCCGAUGUCGGAUUAGCUAGUUGGCGGGGUAAAGGCCCACCAAGGCGACGAUCCGUAGCUGGUCUGAAAGGAUGAUCAGCCACACUGGGACUGAGACGCGUUCCAGACUCCUACGGUAGGCAGCAGUGGGGAAUAUUGGACGAUGGGGGCGAGCCUGAUCCAGGCAUACCGCGUGAGUGAUGAAGGCCUUCGGGUUGUAAAGCCCUUUUGUUGGGAAAGAAAGGCAGCAGGUUAAUACCCCGCGGUUCUGACGGUACCCAAAGAAUAAGCACCGGCUAACUUCGUG